This 52-nucleotide transfer RNA is filed under the name Polyacanthorhynchus caballeroi. RNAcentral describes it as "tRNA-Phe". Lineage: Eukaryota; Metazoa; Acanthocephala; Polyacanthocephala; Polyacanthorhynchidae. The record is from RNAcentral.
UUCAGCGGAGCUCGUAGAGUAUGACUUUGAAGAAGUUGGGGGUGUACUGAAG